RNAcentral lists this ribosomal RNA (332 nucleotides) under uncultured bacterium. Its description in RNAcentral is "bacterial SSU rRNA". It matches the Rfam family "Bacterial small subunit ribosomal RNA", at positions 568 to 898 of the family's 1533-position model. The record is from RNAcentral.
UGCGUAGGCGGGUGAUAAAGUCAGGUGUGAAAUGCCGCAGCUUAACUGCGGAGCUGCACUUGAAACUUAUCAUCUUGAGUGGAGUAGAGGCAAGCGGAAUUCCCAGUGUAGCGGUGAAAUGCGUAGAUAUUGGGAGGAACACCAGUGGCGAAGGCGGCUUGCUGGGCUUUAACUGACGCUGAGGCACGAAAGUGUGGGGAGCAAACAGGAUUAGAUACCCUGGUAGUCCACACUGUAAACGAUGGAUACUAGGUGUGGGAGGUAUUGACCCCUUCCGUGCCGGAGUUAACACAAUAAGUAUCCCACCUGGGGAGUACGGCCGCAAGGUUGAA